Plodia interpunctella (Indianmeal moth) is the source of this 282-nucleotide long non-coding RNA. RefSeq lists it as uncharacterized. The transcript has 3 exons. Lineage: Eukaryota; Metazoa; Arthropoda; Insecta; Lepidoptera; Pyralidae. The record is from RefSeq and is a predicted model, not a curated record.
GGUUGCCAGGCGCGAGAAUUAAUUCCGAAAAUCGACUUCUGAAGUAUUGUUGUGUUGAAAGCUAUUUUCGAUAAUUGAAAAAGAAGAAUCAAGAUAAUACAUUUUCAUUGCAGGUAUCGGCACUUUGUUCAGAUUUUAUACAAGUUAUUAUUAGAAAUGCGAGGAUAAUCGAGACUAAUCGAGAUGGCUUCAUGCGGUCUCACGCUUGGCUCCGCCCAGACAAAUAAGCUUUACUUCUAAAGGAGCGAAGCCACGGGAAACAUCUAGUGUGAUAUAAUGGAC